Molecule: ribosomal RNA, 49 nt
Filed under: Trypethelium eluteriae
Lineage: Eukaryota; Fungi; Ascomycota; Dothideomycetes; Trypetheliales; Trypetheliaceae
Description: partial 28S rRNA
Source: RNAcentral
AUCAGGUAGGAAUACCCGCUGAACUUAAGCAUAUCAAUAAGCGGAAGGA